Non-coding RNA from Podarcis lilfordi (Lilford's wall lizard), 117 nucleotides. The record is from the annotation of a GenBank genome assembly. NCBI's taxonomy places the organism in Eukaryota, Metazoa, Chordata, Lepidosauria, Squamata, Lacertidae.
UGCAAAUGUUAGAGAGAGUUGCAUACAGAACUGUGUAUGUUUGGAAAAAUUCACACUAGUUUGCUGUUGAAUUAUCAUGGGUGUGUGUGUGUGUGUGUGUGUGUGUGUGGAACGCAA